CGUGUAGGCGGCUUUGCAAGUCGGAUGUGAAAGCCCACGGCUCAACCGUGGAAGUGCAUCCGAAACUGCAUGGCUGGAGUCUCGGAGAGGAAGGUGGAAUGCUUGGUGUAGAGGUGAAAUUCGUAGAUAUCAAGCAGAACACCUGCGGCGAAGGCGGCCUUCUGGACGAUGACUGAGCUGAGACGCGAAAGCGUGGGGAGCAAACA
This 206-nucleotide ribosomal RNA is filed under the name uncultured bacterium. RNAcentral's name for it is "partial 16S ribosomal RNA". It matches the Rfam family "Bacterial small subunit ribosomal RNA", at positions 568 to 774 of the family's 1533-position model. The record is from RNAcentral.